GGGGUUGUGGCUUAGUGGUAGAGCACUCGCCUUGCAAGUGAGAGACCCUGGAUUUGAUCCUCAGCACCA
Molecule: transfer RNA, 69 nt
Filed under: Ictidomys tridecemlineatus (thirteen-lined ground squirrel)
Lineage: Eukaryota; Metazoa; Chordata; Mammalia; Rodentia; Sciuridae
Description: Spermophilus tridecemlineatus (thirteen-lined ground squirrel) tRNA
Rfam family: tRNA
About the family: Transfer RNA (tRNA) molecules are approximately 80 nucleotides in length. Their secondary structure includes four short double-helical elements and three loops (D, anti-codon, and T loops). Further hydrogen bonds mediate the characteristic L-shaped molecular structure. tRNAs have two regions of fundamental functional importance: the anti-codon, which is responsible for specific mRNA codon recognition, and the 3' end, to which the tRNAs corresponding amino acid is attached (by aminoacyl-tRNA synthetases). tRNAs cope with the degeneracy of the genetic code in two manners: having more than one tRNA (with a specific anti-codon) for a particular amino acid; and 'wobble' base-pairing, i.e. permitting non-standard base-pairing at the 3rd anti-codon position.
Source: Rfam by way of RNAcentral